UUUAAUUGGAGAGUUUGAUCCUGGCUCAGAAUGAACGCUGGCGGCGUGCUUAACACAUGCAAGUCGAACGAGAAAGUUUUCUUCGGAAAACGAGUACAGUGGCGCACGGGUGAGUAACGCGUGAAUAAUCUACCCCUGAAUUUGGGAUAACAGUUCGAAAGGGCUGCUAAUACCGGAUGACAUAACCCUUACCACGGUUUGGGUUAUCAAAGAGGGCCUCUCCUUGGAA
Molecule: ribosomal RNA, 229 nt
Filed under: Desulfoluna spongiiphila
Lineage: Bacteria; Pseudomonadati; Thermodesulfobacteriota; Desulfobacteria; Desulfobacterales; Desulfolunaceae
Description: 16S rRNA. Bacterial SSU
Rfam family: Bacterial small subunit ribosomal RNA
Source: RNAcentral